Long non-coding RNA from Gossypium raimondii (Peruvian cotton), 1124 nucleotides. RefSeq lists it as uncharacterized. The record is from RefSeq and is a predicted model, not a curated record. The transcript has 2 exons. Lineage: Eukaryota; Viridiplantae; Streptophyta; Magnoliopsida; Malvales; Malvaceae.
UUUUCCUUAAUUUCCGGUGUUUGUUUCGUGGAAAAUGAAUUCCUAUAGGAAAACAUUUUCCAAAACACGGGUAAAAGCAAAGCCAAUUUAUGGAAAAUGUCUUACCGAUUUCUAAGCCGUAAGACAUUUUCCCUUCUCUUCGUUCUCCCUUCCUUUCUGUCCAUCUCUGUCCAUCGUCCCUUCUCUUCGUUGGCCUCACCAAGUAAAUCUCUGUCUCGUCAUCUCCGUCGGUCGACCGACCGUCGUCCUUACCUCUGUAUUUUGAAGAAACUUAGCAGCCACAGUCGAGAAAAGAAGACCCAGAAGAGGAAGCUAGUUGGAUUCCUGAUCAAUGGGGUCAUACUCGAUUUAGAGCCUUAAUUGUUUCUGCAGACAACGCGACAAAUCAGAAACAUUUAAGUGGUUUGCGCUCACUUUAAAAGGCAAGUUUCUGAACUUUUAAUUGGUCCUCAUCUGCAUAUAUCUUCAUUAGUGCCCUCAUAAUUAUGUUUACUAUAUAAUUUCUUCUUCUUAUUAUUGUUGUUGGGUAUAAUUCUGAAUAAUCAUUGCUGUGUUUCCUUAUUGUGGUUAAUAGGUUUGUAAAAAAAAGCAUGCAUGUCCCCCCUUCUCACAAUCAAAAACCUUGUCUAGGAUGCAGGGGAAGCUAAUGCUAACUUUCAGGAUUCUUGCACUGGCCUAAUUACAGUAUAAUUAUAAAUGUUAAUAAGUCAUUGCCCUUUCGCUUUUACUCUUGAUAACUUGAUUCUCUCCAAGUGUUUAUUUGAGAUUAGAUGUCUAUGAGAGCAUCUCCUGCCAUGAUUUUCCUUAGAUUCUAAGCAAAUUGGUUUUGUUCAAGCAGUCAAUGCAUGACCAUGUUGAUGCUUGGCCAUUCAAGGAACCAGUUGAUGCUCGUGAUGUCCCUGAUUAUUAUGACAUUAUCAAAGACCCCAAGUUAUUACAGUUGCAAGUGGUAUAGAAUAUCAUCAUCAAAUUAUUUCUCAUAAUAACUUAGGCUUCAGUUUACAGAGAUGCUCGUUUGUUUAGAACAGUUAUUGUUAUGCGAAUGGAUCAAAUAUAUACAUGUAUGUAUGCAUAUAUAUUUAUUAAAGAUCCUUGAAUAUUAUCCUCAAACUGUUGUUCUUGAA